This 404-nucleotide ribosomal RNA is filed under the name uncultured bacterium. Its description in RNAcentral is "bacterial SSU rRNA". It matches the Rfam family "Bacterial small subunit ribosomal RNA", at positions 30 to 429 of the family's 1533-position model. The record is from RNAcentral.
AGUGAACGCUGGCGGCAGGCCUAACACAUGCAAGUCGAACGGCAGCACAGCAGUAGCAAUACUGUGGGUGGCGAGUGGCGGACGGGUGAGGAAUACAUGGGAAUCUACCCUGUCGUGGGGGAUAACGUAGGGAAACUUACGCUAAUACCGCAUACGACCGAGAGGUGAAAGCGGCGGACCGCAAGGCGUCGCGCGACUGGAUGAGCCCAUGUCGGAUUAGCUAGUGGCGGGGUAAAGGCCCACCAAGGCGACGAUCCGUAGCUGGUCUGAGAGGAUGAUCAGCCACACUGGAACUGAGACACGGUCCAGACUCCUACGGGAGGCAGCAGUGGGGAAUAUUGGACAAUGGGCGCAAGCCUGAUCCAGCCAUGCCGCGUGGAUGAUGAAGGCCCUAGGGUUGUAAA